RNAcentral lists this ribosomal RNA (492 nucleotides) under uncultured bacterium. Its description in RNAcentral is "partial 16S ribosomal RNA". It matches the Rfam family "Bacterial small subunit ribosomal RNA", at positions 29 to 507 of the family's 1533-position model. The record is from RNAcentral.
AGUGAACGCUGGCGGUAGGCCUAACACAUGCAAGUCGAACGGCAGCACAGUAAGAGCUUGCUCUUACGGGUGGCGAGUGGCGGACGGGUGAGGAAUACAUCGGAAUCUACUUUUUCGUGGGGGAUAACGUAGGGAAACUUACGCUAAUACCGCAUACGACCUACGGGUGAAAGCAGGGGAACUUCGGACCUUGCGCGAUUGAAUGAGCCGAUGUCGGAUUAGCUAGUUGGCGGGGUAAAGGCCCACCAAGGCGACGAUCCGUAGCUGGUCUGAGAGGAUGCUCAGCCACACUGGAACUGAGACACGGUCCAGACUCCUACGGGAGGCAGCAGUGGGGAAUAUUGGACAAUGGGCGCAAGCCUGAUCCAGCCAUACCGCGUGGGUGAAGAAGGCCUUCGGGUUGUAAAGCCCUUUUGUUGGGAAAGAAAAGCAGCAGGUUAAUACCCCGCUGUUCUGACGGUACCCAAAGAAUAAGCACCGGCUAACUUCGUG